Theileria annulata is the source of this 73-nucleotide transfer RNA. It matches the Rfam family "tRNA". Rfam says of the family: Transfer RNA (tRNA) molecules are approximately 80 nucleotides in length. Their secondary structure includes four short double-helical elements and three loops (D, anti-codon, and T loops). Further hydrogen bonds mediate the characteristic L-shaped molecular structure. tRNAs have two regions of fundamental functional importance: the anti-codon, which is responsible for specific mRNA codon recognition, and the 3' end, to which the tRNAs corresponding amino acid is attached (by aminoacyl-tRNA synthetases). tRNAs cope with the degeneracy of the genetic code in two manners: having more than one tRNA (with a specific anti-codon) for a particular amino acid; and 'wobble' base-pairing, i.e. permitting non-standard base-pairing at the 3rd anti-codon position. Lineage: Eukaryota; Apicomplexa; Aconoidasida; Piroplasmida; Theileriidae. The record is from Rfam.
GCCGCGGUAGCUCAGUUGGGAGAGCGUCAGACUGAAGAUCUGAAGGUCCCUGGUUCGAUCCCUGGCCACGGCA